GAGUUUGAUCGUGGCUCAGAUUGAACGCUGGCGGCAUGCCUUACACAUGCAAGUCGAACGGCAGCAUGAUCCAGCUUGCUAGAUUGAUGGCGAGUGGCGAACGGGUGAGUAAUACAUCGGAACGUGCCCUGUAGUGGGGGAUAACUAGUCGAAAGAUUAGCUAAUACCGCAUACGACCUGAGGGUGAAAGUGGGGGACCGCAAGGCCUCAUGCUAUAGGAGCGGCCGAUGUCUGAUUAGCUAGUUGGUGGGGUAAAGGCCCACCAAGGCGACGAUCAGUAGCUGGUCUGAGAGGACGAUCAGCCACACUGGGACUGAGACACGGCCCAGACUCCUACGGGAGGCAGCAGUGGGGAAUUUUGGACAAUGGGCGAAAGCCUGAUCCAGCAAUGCCGCGUGUGUGAAGAAGGCCU
Molecule: ribosomal RNA, 412 nt
Filed under: uncultured microorganism
Description: bacterial SSU rRNA
Rfam family: Bacterial small subunit ribosomal RNA
Source: RNAcentral